AUUGAACGCUGGCGGCAUGCUUUACACAUGCAAGUCGAACGGUAACAGGUCUUCGGAUGCUGACGAGUGGCGAACGGGUGAGUAAUGCAUCGGAACGUGCCCAGUCGUGGGGGAUAACGCAGCGAAAGCUGCGCUAAUACCGCAUACGAUCUAUGGAUGAAAGCGGGGGACCGUAAGGCCUCGCGCGAUUGGAGCGGCCGAUGUCAGAUUAGGUAGUUGGUGGGGUAAAGGCUCACCAAGCCAACGAUCUGUAGCUGGUCUGAGAGGACGACCAGCCACACUGGGACUGAGACACGGCCCAGACUCCUACGGGAGGCAGCAGUGGGGAAUUUUGGUACGAAUAGGGC
This 347-nucleotide ribosomal RNA is filed under the name uncultured bacterium. Its description in RNAcentral is "bacterial SSU rRNA". It matches the Rfam family "Bacterial small subunit ribosomal RNA", at positions 30 to 377 of the family's 1533-position model. The record is from RNAcentral.